UACGAAGGGUGCAAGCGUUAAUCGGAAUUACUGGGCGUAAAGGGUGCGUAGGCGGUUGUUUAAGUCUGUCGUGAAAUCCCCGGGCUCAACCUGGGAAUGGCGGUGGAUACUGGACAGCUAGAGUGUGUCAGAGGAUGGUGGAAUUCCCGGUGUAGCGGUGAAAUGCGUAGAGAUCGGGAGGAACAUCAGUGGCGAAGGCGGCCAUCUGGGACAACACUGACGCUGAAGCACGAAAGCGUGGGGAGCAAACAGG
Molecule: ribosomal RNA, 253 nt
Filed under: uncultured bacterium
Lineage: Bacteria
Description: partial 16S ribosomal RNA
Rfam family: Bacterial small subunit ribosomal RNA
Source: RNAcentral